Molecule: ribosomal RNA, 253 nt
Filed under: uncultured bacterium
Lineage: Bacteria
Description: partial 16S ribosomal RNA
Rfam family: Bacterial small subunit ribosomal RNA
Source: RNAcentral
UACAGAGGGUGCAAACGUUGUUCGGAAUUACUGGGCGUAAAGCGAGUGUAGGCGGUUCGAUAAGUCGGAUGUGAAAGCCCCGGGCUCAACCCGGGAAGUGCACUCGAUACUGUCGAGCUAGAGUAUCGGAGAGGUUGGUGGAAUUCUCGGUGUAGAGGUGAAAUUCGUAGAUAUCGAGAGGAACACCGGUGGCGAAGGCGGCCAACUGGACGAAUACUGACGCUGAGACUCGAAAGCGUGGGGAGCAAACAGG